Long non-coding RNA from Syngnathus acus (greater pipefish), 183 nucleotides. RefSeq lists it as uncharacterized. The transcript has 3 exons. Lineage: Eukaryota; Metazoa; Chordata; Actinopteri; Syngnathiformes; Syngnathidae. The record is from RefSeq and is a predicted model, not a curated record.
CAGAAUAUAUUUAUCGCAUUGUAGAUAAUUGCAUGAUUGUGUAUUGUGCUAAAAGAAUGUCCCGCACGGCUACCGUAGCUUAGACGGAAAAGCUCCUCAUCGCUCCCCGGAUGUAACGCAACCAAGUGAUAGAUUUUGUUCUCUGGAUCCUCGUGUGAGUUUAUUAAACUGCUGUCCUCUGAA